GGGCAGAGCAAAGAAUGCCACAGGCUUCGAAGCACCUUCCUUCUCGGUUAUUCUACCUGGGAAGUCAGCAAUUUCAUGGCAUCCAAGAGGUCUUUUAUUUACCUUGGCAGAUUUUUGACUUCUAGGAAGUUCAUCUCUCUCAGGAAAUUCUUAAGUGAAGCUGGUGUGUUUUUGUUUUCCCGUGAGUGCGUGGCAAGCGAGAAUGCACUGAGCACCAGGGACGUGUGGUGUUGAGCUUGAGUCGUGCUAAGGCACCAGCAGUGUUACCCACCAGUGCAACUGUGAACUCAGCGAAAAAGACAAAGAACGUCUUAGUAUUAUUUUGAGCUGUAAGACAAGCUCUCAUCAAUGGCAAUUACAAUUCUUCACCCUGUUUGAGGGGAAAGGAAAGCUGACUUGUGGCCACCCCCAGGGGUUUGCCUUGAAGGACUCCCUUUGAAUUUACAGUAGGAUUUUAUGGGCCAAGUUCUUCACGUGUAAAUUUAGGCAGCGGGGCUGGAGGACUCCAACAGUCUGCAGAUUUCUACCUAGUGAUUCUGGGGAGUCCGGAGACUGCCGACAGGGAUCCAGGAGGAGGGCCAGAUGAUUUUUACAAAAGUACUCCUUGUCGCCUCUAGGGGGCGUGCCAGCCCUCCCUACAGCCUUGAAAAGCUAAGUAGCCAAUUCUUCAGCAUUUCUCAAUGUUUCCGGGAACUUGUGAGUUCCUUGGUGGGAUGGAAUUUACCGUCUCAGGGAGGAAUAUGAGGCUGAGUUAGUGAGCCGAUAAGGAAAAGUGACCACGGCAGAUAUUCCACAGGGAAGUAGAACAGCAGCACAGGUAAUGUGGAGAGGUACUGGCUUCCAGGGGGACCUCCUCCCUGCAGAAUCAGAUUGCUGCCUCUGUGGAGGUGACCGUAGAGACCUGCCACUCUUCCUAAGGGGCCCCAUUUGCUUCACAAAUAGCAUAUUCUGGCACUUUCAGCCUCAUUAAAGGAAGCGACUAAACUCCAUUUGGCCUGUAACCAGAGAACUGGAUUAAAGCGGUGGUGUCUGUGACCAGGGAAUGGUUCUCAAGGCUCUCAGUCUCACUUGAGGAACUCUUUCUCCGCCUGUGAUCUGUCAGUAUUUUGCAUCCCAGUUGUUUCCACCAGAGACAGUGUCAGAGCAGGUAUGCCACUCCG
RNAcentral lists this long non-coding RNA (1160 nucleotides) under Equus caballus (horse). Its description in RNAcentral is "lncRNA (ENSECAG00000054343.1)". The record is from RNAcentral. Lineage: Eukaryota; Metazoa; Chordata; Mammalia; Perissodactyla; Equidae.